GAGGUCUGGUAGUAAGUGGAGGCAGCGGUAGAGCCAGAGAUUAGAAAGAAAAUGAAAAAUAAGGGACCCGCCCCUUUUUUUUAUUUUUUCGAUCAUUGGCCGAUCACCGGCAGUCAAAGCCUCUGGGUAAGAUGGCUACCAGGUAGGGGUCAUGACUCAUAGGUGCGACACCAUGGGUGGCGACGCAGGUAGUCGGAAAAAGGGGGAGAG
This 210-nucleotide long non-coding RNA is filed under the name Elaeis guineensis (African oil palm). RNAcentral's name for it is "long non-coding RNA (EGUI_LNC006697)". The record is from RNAcentral. Lineage: Eukaryota; Viridiplantae; Streptophyta; Magnoliopsida; Arecales; Arecaceae.